GUUGGACAUUACCAUAGGCUGAGAGUUCAAUUAGAUCCAUGUCGCGUCCUGCGACUCUACAAUAUGCGCUCUUUUGUAUUAGGUCUGAUUUUGAUACUUCCGUCCGAUUACCUUUUGAUCUAUUAACUUUUGCCUGUAACACUUGACAAUUCUCCAACGUGCUCUUUCCACCCUUGGAAUAGGGGAGGAUGUGGUCGUAGUCAUGGCAGAGGCAUCCCGGGCAGCCGACCAGCUUGCGGAACACGAGGUUACCGAGGUAGUCGCGGCGCCAGCGGUCUGAAUCCCGC
RNAcentral lists this unclassified non-coding RNA (287 nucleotides) under Hevea brasiliensis (rubber tree). Lineage: Eukaryota; Viridiplantae; Streptophyta; Magnoliopsida; Malpighiales; Euphorbiaceae. The record is from RNAcentral.